This 394-nucleotide ribosomal RNA is filed under the name uncultured Hyphomicrobiaceae bacterium. RNAcentral's name for it is "bacterial SSU rRNA". It matches the Rfam family "Bacterial small subunit ribosomal RNA", at positions 360 to 771 of the family's 1533-position model. The record is from RNAcentral. Lineage: Bacteria; Pseudomonadati; Pseudomonadota; Alphaproteobacteria; Hyphomicrobiales; Hyphomicrobiaceae.
AAUAUUGGACAAUGGGCGCAAGCCUGAUCCAGCCAUGCCGCGUGGGUGAAGAAGGCCUUAGGGUUGUAAACCCCUUUCAGCGGGGAAGAUAAUGACGGUACCCGCAGAAGAAGUCCCGGCUAACUCCGUGCCAGCAGCCGCGGUAAUACGGAGGGGACUAGCGUUGUUCGGAAUUACUGGGCGUAAAGCGCACGUAGGCGGAUUUGUAAGUCAGGGGUGAAAUCCCGGGGCUCAACCUCGGAACUGCCUUUGAUACUGCAAAUCUCGAGUCCGGAAGAGGUGAGUGGAAUUCCUAGUGUAGAGGUGAAAUUCGUAGAUAUUAGGAAGAACACCAGUGGCGAAGGCGGCUCACUGGUCCGGUACUGACGCUGAGGUGCGAAAGCGUGGGGAGCAA